This 73-nucleotide transfer RNA is filed under the name Pseudomonadales bacterium. RNAcentral's name for it is "tRNA-Ala". It matches the Rfam family "tRNA". Rfam says of the family: Transfer RNA (tRNA) molecules are approximately 80 nucleotides in length. Their secondary structure includes four short double-helical elements and three loops (D, anti-codon, and T loops). Further hydrogen bonds mediate the characteristic L-shaped molecular structure. tRNAs have two regions of fundamental functional importance: the anti-codon, which is responsible for specific mRNA codon recognition, and the 3' end, to which the tRNAs corresponding amino acid is attached (by aminoacyl-tRNA synthetases). tRNAs cope with the degeneracy of the genetic code in two manners: having more than one tRNA (with a specific anti-codon) for a particular amino acid; and 'wobble' base-pairing, i.e. permitting non-standard base-pairing at the 3rd anti-codon position. The record is from RNAcentral. Lineage: Bacteria; Pseudomonadati; Pseudomonadota; Gammaproteobacteria; Pseudomonadales.
GGGCUCAUAGCUCAGUUGGGAGAGCGUCGCCCUUGCACGGCGAAUGUCGCAGGUUCGAUUCCUGUUGGGUCCA